UUUUGAGAGCACAUGCAUACGGAUCUUUAGCUCCCGAGUUCCCAGGGGCGGGCCCGCGUUAGCCCAACAUGGUUGCACAAGACACAGGGCUCGUUUUUUUUACAUAUAUAGAGCCCAUAUAGAGCUGGACGCCCCCUGAAUUCAAAUAGCUAGCCCACACAACAGCCAAAAGUCCAACUACUCCUGAGCUUCUCUUCCUUCCGCGCGUGGCCUAUAGGCGAGACCCGGAGCUUUUCUUCCUUCCGCGCGUGGCCCAUAGACGAGGCCUAGAGCUUUUCUUCCUUCUGCGCGUGUGCAAAUUCAGCCCAACAAGACGGCCCAUCAUCCAGUCCAGCCGAAGAGGUCGCUGACACCGAGCCUGCGCUCUACAGAGCAUCGACCAGGUUGACAUGCAGCGACGGACCUAGGAUAUAUGUAAAGGUUUGGCGGAUUUUACACAACAAAAUAUCAUAUGCAAUACAACUAUGCAAAAGCUUGAUAUAAUACUAAACAUAAAUUCUUUGUGUUUAACAAGUAUAGUAAAAUCCAAAAGAAAGAUAUUGGAGCUCAAAAUACCUCACUGGAUGAAACUAAUAUGGAUGACCGAUCACCAAUUUAUAAUCUAGUAUUAUUUAGAAAAACAUAUGAAUGAUCUGCAAAAGAUUGAAACCCUAAAAAAAAUAUGAAUUAGUAACUAUUUUUUCAUAUGUAUGAAGAAAACACAUUAUACAAGGGAAGAUAUUAGAACGAAUACAUACCCAUAAUAAUGAAUAACCUCGCAUCACAAAUAGUGAUUUCUUCUUAGGUGGUAUCUCGGUGAAGCAAACCUGCUACAAUCUGCUAAAUGUCCUCCUC
RNAcentral lists this long non-coding RNA (834 nucleotides) under Brachypodium distachyon (stiff brome). RNAcentral's name for it is "long non-coding RNA (BDIS_LNC005302)". The record is from RNAcentral. Lineage: Eukaryota; Viridiplantae; Streptophyta; Magnoliopsida; Poales; Poaceae.